GCUGCCGUAGCUCAGUGGUAGAGCACUCCCUUGGUAAGGGAGAGGUCCGCAGUUCAAUCCUGCGCGGCAGCACCA
RNAcentral lists this transfer RNA (75 nucleotides) under Fidelibacterota bacterium. RNAcentral's name for it is "tRNA-Thr". It matches the Rfam family "tRNA". From Rfam's summary of the family: Transfer RNA (tRNA) molecules are approximately 80 nucleotides in length. Their secondary structure includes four short double-helical elements and three loops (D, anti-codon, and T loops). Further hydrogen bonds mediate the characteristic L-shaped molecular structure. tRNAs have two regions of fundamental functional importance: the anti-codon, which is responsible for specific mRNA codon recognition, and the 3' end, to which the tRNAs corresponding amino acid is attached (by aminoacyl-tRNA synthetases). tRNAs cope with the degeneracy of the genetic code in two manners: having more than one tRNA (with a specific anti-codon) for a particular amino acid; and 'wobble' base-pairing, i.e. permitting non-standard base-pairing at the 3rd anti-codon position. Lineage: Bacteria; Pseudomonadati; Fidelibacterota. The record is from RNAcentral.